GGGGCGGAUGUAGCCAAGUGGAUUAAGGCAGUGGAUUGUGAAU
This 43-nucleotide transfer RNA is filed under the name Arabidopsis thaliana (thale cress). RNAcentral's name for it is "partial tRNA-His". The record is from RNAcentral. Lineage: Eukaryota; Viridiplantae; Streptophyta; Magnoliopsida; Brassicales; Brassicaceae. RNAcentral also lists the same sequence under 5 other names.